RNAcentral lists this ribosomal RNA (253 nucleotides) under uncultured bacterium. Its description in RNAcentral is "partial 16S ribosomal RNA". It matches the Rfam family "Bacterial small subunit ribosomal RNA", at positions 524 to 776 of the family's 1533-position model. The record is from RNAcentral.
UACGUAGGGGGCAAGCGUUGUCCGGAAUCAUUGGGCGUAAAGAGCGUGUAGGCGGCCCGGUAAGUCCGCUGUGAAAGUCGAGGGCUCAACCCUCGAAUGCCGGCGGAUACUGUCGGGCUAGAGUCCGGAAGAGGCGAGUGGAAUUCCUGGUGUAGCGGUGAAAUGCGUAGAUAUCUGGAGGAACACCGGUGGCGAAGGCGGCGUUCUGGACUGCAACUGACACUGAGAAACGAAAGCCAGGGGAGCAAACGGG